This is a long non-coding RNA of Coturnix japonica (Japanese quail), 2092 nucleotides long. RefSeq lists it as uncharacterized. The record is from RefSeq and is a predicted model, not a curated record. NCBI's taxonomy places the organism in Eukaryota, Metazoa, Chordata, Aves, Galliformes, Phasianidae.
UCUUUCUGGAAUUUGCUUUUUUGUGGAGUUCUUGUGGUGAGAAUCAACAUUGGCCCAUCUUGACUGAAGGCCUCAGAGCUGGUCCAUACCUCAAUGACUGGCAUACCCAAGUAUGUACAAUCCAAAGAGAUGAAAUUUUCCCUGAGCAAUCAAAUUUGGGACAUAGAUACCCUCAGAAACCCUUACUCACCAGCUUCUGGAAGAAUCACAGAAUGUCUUGGGAUGGAAGAGACCACAAGGACUGUCAAGUUCCAAUCCCUCUGCCACAGGCUGAACAAGCCCAUUUCCUUCAGCCUGUCUUCAUAGGAGAGGUACUUCAACCAUUGAAUCAUCUUUGUGGCCCUCCUCUGGACCCUCUCCAGAAGAUCCAUCUCCUUCCUGUGUUGGAGAACCCAGACUUGGAUGCAAAAUGUUUAAAUGUUUCCGCUUUUAUUAUUCUUUUUAAAACUGCUUAAUAUACUUGCAAUCGUGAUUAGUAGGUAGAGUUUCUUUACACGUUCUGUGAAGUCUAUCUUCUGAGUGAUUUUAACAGUAAAGGACUAAACCAAUCUGGAAAAAAAAAAUGAUUUUGAAACAGAAAAGACAAAAGGAACUGUAUAUCACUCUCCUGUGAUCUCUGAUCAAAACAGAAUCUUGCUGAAUGACUUCAAAGAACAACAGGGCAAGGCAGAGGCCUUGACAACUGAGCUUUCCAAAACAAUCCAGCCAAUCCAGUCUCUCCUACUUCAUUAUUAAUUUUUCAAGAGUACUUAAGUGUUUUUCUUGGUAUAAUCACACAAUUACAUUCACCCUAAUGUUAGGACUGGCUCAAAGCAAAUUGUCAAAAAAAUGGCUAAGUUAUUACCUUUCAUGUCUAUCAAUAUUUGGUUGAAAAUGUAUACUGUUUGUGCUUUAGCAUAGCCCAGGAAAGCACAAGGGUUGUUCUCAGCUGAAGCACAUUUUAGAGGCCCUGUCACAUUGAUGAAUGUCACUGCAAUUGGGCUUUUAUAUUGGCUACUUUGGAGCCUUAUCAAAGCACUUGCUUGUUAGGAUUGCUACUAGGGUACUGAUUACCUGAAAUAGCCUCCAUUGCUAACAAUUCAGUCUUUUACUUUGGGUGAAAAUAUCUAAAUCAUAAAUCACCAUGACCUUAAAUUGGAAUGAACAUAAUGGUAGCUGCUACUUCCUAUUCAUAACUUACAUUCCUCUGAGGCAUCGUUCCCUUUAUGGUACAGGACUAAGAAUCACAAAUUUUGGUGUGUUGUCAGAUGUUUAAUGCAUGAACACUGUAUUUCUAGCUUUUUCUUCUGCUACUUGUGUAUUGCAAGAAAUGCAUAUCUGCACCAGAAUUUACUGAAUCGAUUACACUCAAACUGCAAAAUUAUCCUUUAGGUGAAAAACAUGCUGCCAUUUAUAACCAGGCAUCUGCAUUCCAUAUUUGUUUAAAUCAAACAUCAAUUUAGAUUAACAAAAUUAGCAGUUCUACAGUCUCACAGGUCAUUAGGAAACCUUUUCAGAUUCCAAAUAAUCGGACACUGCAAUGGUAACAUUACUUACAGUUGUAUGUUGGCUACUUAACUACUAUAAAAUCAAACUUUUUUUUGUUUUUGAAGUGACUGACCAUGAAGAAUUAACUUAGACUUUUUGAACUGUAAAUUAUGUAGAUACCCAUCUGGGCAUUCUUUGUGCUGAUAGAGCAAUUUGUCACAAAGUGGAAGGAAGUGUAGUCAUUAGUUAAUAAGAUUUUAAAUGUUACUGUGUUUCUGCUCAGCUCUUCACCUUGGAAGAAGGACAGAUUUUGUGCUAAAUGAGAAUAGAAGCACAGUAUCCAUUUCGAUUAAACAUUACCUUCACAUGAGACAAAACUGUGCUGUCAGGCAGCACUGUUACAGCACAGUGAGAUGAGAGCUGUUAAACCUACAGAUUAAAUGCAGACAGUAACAUAGCCAGCAAUGUGGUAGGCUGCACUCAGCACUACAGAGCUUGCACAGUGCUUCCACUAUAGAGAAAAAAAUGUAGCUCUGAGAUAUCACUGUAAUUUGGCCAUCCUUCCUUGGCUGCUGCACCAAAAGGGUGGAAGUACAGCUCCCUCUGCAGCCCAGCAUGUUUUCUU